UGCUCGAGUGACGAACGGGUGAGUAACACGUGAGUAACCUGCCCUUGACUUUGGGAUAACUUCAGGAAACUGGGGCUAAUACCGGAUAGGAGCUCCUGCUGCAUGGUGGGGGUUGGAAAGUUUCGGCGGUUGGGGAUGGACUCGCGGCUUAUCAGCUUGUUGGUGGGGUAGUGGCUUACCAAGGCUUUGACGGGUAGCCGGCCUGAGAGGGUGACCGGCCACAUUGGGACUGAGAUACGGCCCAG
Molecule: ribosomal RNA, 245 nt
Filed under: uncultured bacterium
Lineage: Bacteria
Description: partial 16S ribosomal RNA
Rfam family: Bacterial small subunit ribosomal RNA
Source: RNAcentral